Triticum aestivum (bread wheat) is the source of this 1832-nucleotide long non-coding RNA. RefSeq lists it as uncharacterized. The record is from RefSeq and is a predicted model, not a curated record. NCBI's taxonomy places the organism in Eukaryota, Viridiplantae, Streptophyta, Magnoliopsida, Poales, Poaceae. The transcript has 4 exons.
CGUUAUCUCAUUCUCUCCGGCAUUGACUUCGGCCGUUUCCCAUUCCUCUUCUGCCGUUCCCCAUUUCUCUCCGACAGUUGGUGCUCGAGGCGCAGGCGAUCUCUGGAGAGGGAGACGCAUCGUUAGUGGCGGCGAUUGUCUGGGAGCGAGCAGGGGAGGGGAGGAGAGGAGCAUUCAAGUAUGUGGUCGUUUUUCCCCUGGUUUAUGUGUAUAGGUUAAAGUAGUGUGCACCAGCGGUAUUUAAAUUAGUGUGUUAGUCACUGAAUGGUUCUAUGAGUAAGCAAAUUUAUUCUACUUUGUCAUGUUUUUGAGGGAGAGAUAUAUGAUCCAUCCCUGUUUUUUUUAAUGUUGGGGUUGAUGCUAUGUACAUAUAUGUACCCAUUUGUUUUGUUUGAAUCAUGCCUGCAUUAAUACUGAAGAAGUUUUUUCAGCAGACAAUAACUGAAUUAUCAGUAGUGUCAAAUCACUCAAGCAGUAACUGAAAUUAACUGGGUUUUUGUGUACAAUCUAUGCAAAUGGAGUCAUUAUUUUAAUGUUACCAAAUGGCAUGAAACUUGCUGUUACAUAUUUCAGAGUACUCAUCUCUGCAGGUGUUGUGUUUUUUCUGUAGCUUGCUUGCCGGAAUAUGCUUAUCAUUGUUUGAUGAAACUACUUUUUGCUCUGACGACAUAUCCCCCUGAUGUUUUUGUCUUUUUGUUGUGCUGCUUCAGUUUGCUUACUCCGAAAACAUAUCCGUCUGAUGAUUCUCCUGCUUUGUGCCAGCUUGUGUUCCUUUUUUAUUUAUUUGAUGUGUAGGAUGGUGUGCACAAUCUGCCAUUCGCAUUGUGAGAGUGACAAUGAGCAGACUUUUCGCAUUGUCAUCCGUGAUGACUACGAAGCUUUAGCGAACAUCCCAUGCACUGAAAGGAAUAUGUUUAACCAGAUGUCUGGGUUGAACUAUAAGGCGGACGACCGUAGGUAUGUUUUUGAUGUGUACAGGGGACACGAAGCCACACUGAUUGGAGGUGAUGAUUGGACCAAGUUCAAGCGCGACUUCGACGUGGGGCAGGGCAAUGUAGUUGUUUUUGACAUGACUGGUGAACAGCAAAGGUAUAUGUGGCUGGAGUUGAGGCUGAAGAAGAGGGAGGAGCUGCUGAAGAAGUUGUUACAGUUGAUGAAGAGGAAGAGGUUGUCAAUGAUGAUCACGGGCUUGAAGAUGCACUAGCAUUUGUGAACACCAGGAGUUUUGUCUUUGAGGAUGGCGAAUUCGCAAUGAUGGAGCUCAUUCUCACUAUCCAACAUUUAUACAUUGGCCCACCCUUUGUGCAUCGUCCGACCACGAACAUUGCAGGCAAGCUGAUGAAAAUCCCCAAGAAGCUAGCUCAACCACUGAACUUGGACACAAAAGGUGUUCUUGGCCUUUGCAUGGGUGUGGGAGAUGUUAUGCAGGUUGCGUACCACACGGACCGUGACGGACGCAUCGUUUUCAACCAAGUCUGGGGUGUUUUUGUAGCCCAGAACCACCUCUAGGUGAAUGAUGCUGUUGUGUUCAACUUCAGGGAGAUCAAUGAAGAACAUAUCAGCCUAGUAUGCGUCGUCAACGCUUUGAGGCCCGCAGAAGCAUAAGGAUGGGGGCUGAUGGAGAUUUUUGUGCCAGCAUAUUUUAUUUUAUUACCUCAUGUUCAGAACCUUUUUAAUGGUGUGGCAGAAGCAAAUGUUUAGCGGUGCUACCGACAAUGUGCUAUCAUUUUUUUUACUUUUGUUGUUUAUGAGGUGGUUAUUAGAGAUGAAUUGUCAAGUUCCUAUGUUGUCCCACCAUGACCUGGGAAUCAAAUGCAGGACUUUUGAACUUA